GAGUUUCUUGGACUCCAAGGGUGGAAGAAACCUUGGAUGAACACUUCGCAUACCUGGGUACUUGAAUUAAUGAAGGUUGAUGGUGAGUUCUAGAAGCUUGAAUCUUGAAAUAAGAAGCCCUAGGUUUUGUUCUUGAGUAACUUUGAGAAUAGUGAAUGGAUUUUGCCUCUACAGUGGCUAAAUAUCAUGUUUUGGAGGAUGAUAUAAGGUGAUAAAAGACCCAAUUACCCUUGAGAAUG
This 239-nucleotide long non-coding RNA is filed under the name Capsicum annuum. Its description in RNAcentral is "long non-coding RNA (CANN_LNC015241)". Lineage: Eukaryota; Viridiplantae; Streptophyta; Magnoliopsida; Solanales; Solanaceae. The record is from RNAcentral.